AUUGAACGCUGGCGGCAUGCCUUACACAUGCAAGUCGAACGGCAGCGCGGGGCAACCUGGCGGCGAGUGGCGAACGGGUGAGUAAUAUAUCGGAACAUACCCUAGAGUGGGGGAUAACGUAGCGAAAGUUACGCUAAUACCGCAUACGCACUAAGGUGGAAAGUGGGGGAUCUUCGGACCUCAUGCUCAUGGAGUGGCCGAUAUCUGAUUAGCUAGUUGGUGAGGUAAAGGCUCACCAAGGCGACGAUCAGUAGCUGGUUUGAGAGAACGACCAGCCACACUGGAACUGAGACACGGUCCAGACUCCUACGGGAGGCAGCAGUGGGGAAUUUUGGACAAUGGGGGCAACCCUGAUCCAGCAAUGCCGCGUGAGUGAAGAAGGCCUUCGGGUUGGUUAAGACGUACUUUGUCUAGGGAAGAAACGGGACGGGUUACGUAA
This 439-nucleotide ribosomal RNA is filed under the name uncultured bacterium. RNAcentral describes it as "bacterial SSU rRNA". It matches the Rfam family "Bacterial small subunit ribosomal RNA", at positions 30 to 469 of the family's 1533-position model. The record is from RNAcentral.